This 443-nucleotide ribosomal RNA is filed under the name uncultured bacterium. Its description in RNAcentral is "SSU rRNA". It matches the Rfam family "Bacterial small subunit ribosomal RNA", at positions 26 to 518 of the family's 1533-position model. The record is from RNAcentral.
AGAACGAACGCUGGCGGCAGGCUUAACACAUGCAAGUCGAACGCCCCGCAAGGGGAGUGGCAGACGGGUGAGUAACGCGUGGGAAUCUACCCAGAUCUUCGGAACAACUGAGGGAAACUUCAGCUAAUACCGGAUACGCCCUACGGGGAAAGAUUUAUCGGUUCUGGAUGAGCCCGCGUUGGAUUAGCUAGUUGGUGGGGUAAUGGCCUACCAAGGCGACGAUCCAUAGCUGGUCUGAGAGGAUGAUCAGCCACACUGGGACUGAGACACGGCCCAGACUCCUACGGGAGGCAGCAGUGGGGAAUAUUGGACAAUGGGCGAAAGCCUGAUCCAGCCAUGCCGCGUGAGUGAUGAAGGCCUUAGGGUUGUAAAGCUCUUUCAGUGGGGAAGAUAAUGACGGUACCUACAGAAGAAGCCCCGGCUAACUUCGUGCCAGCAGCCGC